This 700-nucleotide ribosomal RNA is filed under the name uncultured bacterium. RNAcentral's name for it is "bacterial SSU rRNA". It matches the Rfam family "Bacterial small subunit ribosomal RNA", at positions 8 to 708 of the family's 1533-position model. The record is from RNAcentral.
AGAGUUUGAUCAUGGCUCAGGAUGAACGCUGGCGGCGUGCCUAACACAUGCAAGUCGAGCGCGAAACUUAUGAAUGAUCCUUCGGGUGAAUGAAUAAGUGGAAAGCGGCGGACGGGUGAGUAACGCGUGGGUAACCUGCCCCAUACAAAGGGAUAGCCACUGGAAACGGUGAUUAAUACCAUAUAACACCAUAGUAUCGCAUGAUACAUUGGUCAAAGAUUUAUCGGUAUGGGAUGGACCCGCGUCUGAUUAGCUAGUUGGUAAGGUAACGGCUUACCAAGGCGACGAUCAGUAGCCGACCUGAGAGGGUGAUCGGCCACACUGGAACUGAGACACGGUCCAGACUCCUACGGGAGGCAGCAGUGGGGAAUAUUGCACAAUGGGCGCAAGCCUGAUGCAGCAACGCCGCGUGAGCGAUGAAGGCCUUCGGGUCGUAAAGCUCUGUCCUCAAGGAAGAAUAAAUGACGGUACUUGAGGAGGAAGCCCCGGCUAACUACGUGCCAGCAGCCGCGGUAAUACGUAGGGGGCAAGCGUUAUCCGGAAUCACUGGGCGUAAAGGGUGCGUAGGCGGUUCUUCAAGUCAGAAGUGAAAGGCAAUGGCUCAACCAUUGUAAGCUUUUGAAACUGUAGGACUUGAGUGCAGGAGAGGAAAGUGGAAUUCCUAGUGUAGAGGUGAAAUUCGUAGAUAUUAGGAGGAACA